UACGUAGGGUGCAAGCGUUAAUCGGAAUUACUGGGCGUAAAGCGUGCGCAGGCGGUUAUGUAAGACAGAGGUGAAAUCCCCGGGCUCAACCUGGGAACUGCCUUUGUGACUGCAUAGCUAGAGUACGGCAGAGGGGGAUGGAAUUCCGCGUGUAGCAGUGAAAUGCGUAGAUAUGCGGAGGAACACCGAUGGCGAAGGCAAUCCCCUGGGCCUGUACUGACGCUCAUGCACGAAAGCGUGGGGAGCAAACAGG
This 253-nucleotide ribosomal RNA is filed under the name uncultured bacterium. Its description in RNAcentral is "partial 16S ribosomal RNA". It matches the Rfam family "Bacterial small subunit ribosomal RNA", at positions 524 to 776 of the family's 1533-position model. The record is from RNAcentral.